This 484-nucleotide ribosomal RNA is filed under the name uncultured bacterium. RNAcentral describes it as "partial 16S ribosomal RNA". It matches the Rfam family "Bacterial small subunit ribosomal RNA", at positions 30 to 507 of the family's 1533-position model. The record is from RNAcentral.
AUUGAACGCUAGCGGGAUGCUUUACACAUGCAAGUCGAACGGCAGCACGGACUUCGGUCUGGCGGCGAGUGGCGAACGGGUGAGUAAUGUAUCGGAACGUGCCCAGUAGCGGGGGAUAACUACGCGAAAGCGUAGCUAAUACCGCAUACGCCCUACGGGGGAAAGCAGGGGAUCGUAAGACCUUGCACUAUUGGAGCGGCCGAUAUCGGAUUAGCUAGUUGGUGAGGUAACGGCUCACCAAGGCGACGAUCCGUAGCUGGUUUGAGAGGACGACCAGCCACACUGGGACUGAGACACGGCCCAGACUCCUACGGGAGGCAGCAGUGGGGAAUUUUGGACAAUGGGGGCAACCCUGAUCCAGCCAUCCCGCGUGUGCGAUGAAGGCCUUCGGGUUGUAAAGCACUUUUGGCAGGAAAGAAACGUCGCGGGCUAAUACCCCGUGGAACUGACGGUACCUGCAGAAUAAGCACCGGCUAACUACGUG